Molecule: ribosomal RNA, 889 nt
Filed under: uncultured eukaryote
Lineage: Eukaryota
Description: eukaryotic LSU rRNA
Rfam family: 5.8S ribosomal RNA (bases 373-524)
Source: RNAcentral
AAGUCGUAACAAGGUUUCCGUAGGUGAACCUGCGGAAGGAUCAUUACCAAAUCCAAAACACAUAUCAACACCUCUUGUGCAUCCUAACCGAUGUUUUGUUUGCGUUGCCGUGCUCUGUGUGGUUUUGCAUUGCGGGCGCGGGGCAUCUCUGCCGAGGUGCGCCGUGGCCGUGAGAGGGACCCGCGGGGCUUGACACGGGGGCGCAAGCGAAUAAAACUGAAGAACACGCCUGUGUGAACCAAGUCUUAUCUGACCGAAUGAUUGUUGUCGUUUGGUCAUGCGUGCGCUGUGGAGCGGAGAGACACUGCUUUUUCGAAAAGGAGUGUGUUAUCUGUGCCAUUGUGCAGGUGUGAAAACAAAGCAAACCCGAACAACUUUUAACGGUGGAUCUCUUGGCUCGUGCAUCGAUGAAGAACGCAGCCAGCUGCGAUACGUAAUGUGAAUUGCAGAAUUCAGUGAAUCAUCGAAUCUUUGAACGCAAAUUGCGCUUCAGGUUUUACUGGAGCACGUCUGCCUGAGUGUCAUUCUAACACAUACUCGAUCCAGCGCUUGCUUGAUGCGGGCGGUGGUGUCGGCAGUGCGGCGAUUGCAGGACGGGCAUUGAUGCAUCUAUAUAUAUAUAGUAUGCGGGUGUGCCUGUGAGUGCAGGGCCGUUAAGUGUUGGUUGCAGCGAUGCAAUUACAGGACGGACCGCAGUAAAGCAGCGGGCCAUCACGUCUCUGAGCUAUACACAUUGGUGUGGCAUAUACGAGCUAUGCUUGUAGUAAGUUCGCCUGUGUGCUGAUGGAGAAUGUGUGGGCGGCUGUGUGCGGGAUGAACCGUGCAGGAAUGAAUCUAUGAAAGCUAUGAACCUCAGAUCAGUCGAGACUACCCGCUAAAUUUAGCAUAU